UCGAUUUGGAGUUUGUUGCCUAGAGUGAUGGGCUCCGAAGCUAACGCGAUAAAUCGACCGCCUGGGGAGUACGGCCGCAAGGUUAAAACUCAAAUGAAUUGACGGGGGCCCGCACAAGCGGUGGAGCAUGUGGUUUAAUUCGAUGCAACGCGAAGAACCUUACCUGGUCUUGACAUCCACAGAAUCUUUCAGAGAUGAGGGAGUGCCUUUGGGAACUGUGAGACAGGUGCUGCAUGGCUGUCGUCAGCUCGUGUUGUGAAAUGUUGGGUUAAGUCCCGCAACGAGCGCAACCCUUAUCCUUUGUUGCCAGCGAUUAGGUCGGGAACUCAAAGGAGACUGCCGUUGAUAAAACGGAGGAAGGUGGGGACGACGUCAAGUCAUCAUGGCCCUUACGACCAGGGCUACACACGUGCUACAAUGGCGUAUACAAAGGGAAGCGAAGGUGCGAGCUGGAGCGGACCUCCUAAAGUACGUCUAAGUCCGGAUUGGAGUCUGCAACUCGACUCCAUGAAGUCGGAAUCGCUAGUAAUCGUGAAUCAGAAUGUCACGGUGAAUACGUUCCCGGGCCU
This 569-nucleotide ribosomal RNA is filed under the name uncultured Gammaproteobacteria bacterium. Its description in RNAcentral is "bacterial SSU rRNA". It matches the Rfam family "Bacterial small subunit ribosomal RNA", at positions 812 to 1381 of the family's 1533-position model. Lineage: Bacteria; Pseudomonadati; Pseudomonadota; Gammaproteobacteria. The record is from RNAcentral.